UGUGAUUAGGUAGUGUUACUAACGUUGUCAUGGAGAUUGUAGUUUCCCUGAACGUCCUUAUUGAUAUUUUGGUCUGUAACUUUAGAUAACUUGUAACCAUGGAUGUAUAACGUCCUUGUUUAAUUAGUCCCGGUCGGGAUGAUAUAAUGUAACUAAACAAGCCGACUGGAGGAUAGUGUCUGGUUACCAUAGAGACGACUGAAACCUUUCGCCAAGCAUAAAUUGAAGUGUCAGAAGUGUCGAGCGACCAACCAUAAAUUAAGGAACCUACAUUUUAUAGGUUCCUUGCUAUAAAUCAGGAAGUGGAACACACAUUGUAUUUAAAACCAAGUGUAGUAAAUGAUAAAGUUUUUCUAGCGAGGGCAAACUAUUGGUGUGAUUCAGGUAGGACACUUCCAGGAUCUGCACUCUGCAGCGCUGCUAACGGGGGAAGGUGUCCUUUCAUCAUCACUGGAGAGAGUCAAUGAUGUAUAAACUAUCCCACCUAAAGUUACUAAUAAGAUAAGCUAUUCCAAAAGGUUGGAGCCCUGACAGUAAAAACCCUGUCAUGCUUGAUCUUCAGCCUUGAAGGGGAAUAGCUAACAGGGUCUUAUCAGAGGAUCUCAAGCUACGGGCUGUGGGUACCAAAUGCUGAGCUAGAGAGCCAAGAGGCAGAACUUGGCCAUGAGUGUGCUCAGGACCUAUAAUAAGGAUUUCCAUUGUGGAAGAGUUAAGCUGAAGAAAAUUUACUGCAAUCCAAUCCGUAACCACAGGAGUAAUUUGGGGUUCAGCAUCUUGCCCAAGGAUACUUCAACAUGCGGACUGGAGGAGCCGGGAAUCGACCUGCCCAUCUCCCGAUUAGUGGACAACCCGCUCUACCUCCUGAGCCACAGCCGCCCCAAUCAACAGGCAUGACAAAUUUUCUGUUACAAAAGUAUAAGUGGAACUACUGGUGGGCAGUCCUGGAGAUAGUAACCCAUGUCCUCAACCUUUUAAUAAUAAUGCUAUGAUCCACCAUGACAAACAUGGUGCUAAAAUCAAGAGAGAGCAGGCAUCUCACAUGGAAGACACUGCAGGUGCAUGGCUGAACUUUCCACAACACACUUUAGUUUAUGCAGUCUCUAUAAGGCCUAUGUUAAGGUGCCAUCUUGACAUAAUAUACUAAAUGUAAUAAAUAGUGAUGAAUCACAUUAGAAGCCUGCCCUGUAAAUUGUAUCUGGAUGGUUACUGAAACUGACUGAAUAUGGCACAGCCGUCACUGCUGUCAAUACACCUGCACUAGUUUGACCUUAAAUCUCUGGAAUAUAUCUAUUCAGUUCAUAUGUUGAUUAGGAAAAUGCCCUGAAGUUACCAAUGAAAUAAUCAGUAUUCCUACCUGCCUUUUCCUUCUACAAACAUCAUCUUAGUGCCAGAAUAACUUCAUCAAAUCACCUCUGAAGCUAUUUGCUGUUUUCUCGUAAUCAAAGUAAAGACAACUACAAAGCUUGCUGCUCAUUCUUAUGCUGUAAUGAAACAAUGAAUAUACAAUCGAGUACUGCGCAUAAAAUAGCAAUAACAAUUAGCCCUCUAUCUACAUCUGUCUACAUGUAAUUGAAUUACACUUUGAAUGAUACUAUAUUGCAUUUAAUAGCAAUAUUGAACAAGAAAAUCUUAGCAAAAAGACUUUAAACUCAGGGCUAGCCAGCACUGUUGAUUAUUUAAUGUUAAGUAAAGAAAGCUCACAAACAUGUAGCUACUGUUUUACUUACACUAUUUAGUUCUGGACCCCUUAUAAAAAUCUUCUCUUCAUACCUCACACUGCAGUUUACACAAGCACAAUUUCCAACAUGAUAUGACUUCGACAGCCGCACGGCUAAGCUGCUCCACUAGCUCUGCUGCAACUACAGAGAACCAGGUAGCUGAAACAGAGAGGACAGGACUUAAUUAAAUAUGAAUGAAAACAUAACAGAAAAGCAACUUUUGUUUUUAUUGUCAGGACAAAUUAAAAACUAUUA
Long non-coding RNA from Thunnus maccoyii (southern bluefin tuna), 1973 nucleotides. RefSeq lists it as uncharacterized. The record is from RefSeq and is a predicted model, not a curated record. NCBI's taxonomy places the organism in Eukaryota, Metazoa, Chordata, Actinopteri, Scombriformes, Scombridae. The transcript is spliced from 4 exons.